Molecule: long non-coding RNA, 443 nt
Organism: Dermochelys coriacea (leatherback sea turtle)
Lineage: Eukaryota; Metazoa; Chordata; Testudines; Dermochelyidae
Exons: 3
Source: RefSeq, a predicted model, not a curated record
GAGUGUAACAGACACGAGUGCCUUUCCGCCACCACGUGAAAAAGCUGCAGGUAUUUUGCUGCCAUUGUGCAAAGCCCUUCGUGCCCAGACAAAGAAGAAAAUUCUGCACCGCCCGUGAAAGAUCAGUGGGAAAAUGAAGCCAAGAAUGGGUACGGUUGUGCCAUCCGAGGAAGCAACACCAGCCGGUGUGAAAACUUUUUCAACUACCGAGGAGCGCAGCCAAAGAGGGGUGUCCCGAGGAGGCUAAAUCCAUGAAUGGUGGCGAUCUCCCAGUGGAAAGCAACUUGGAAGCAGAAAAUACAAUUUUAAAUGAAUCCCCCUUGCCAACACUAUUCGGCCCACCUCCCCGGUAAACCUUUCUUCCAAGCUCCAGGCCAGAGACAGGCCCCCGGACCCGCUGGCCCAUUGAUCUGCGAUGGACAUGGCUAUAUUGCUAACCGUUC